AUACUUGCUUUGCCUGUAUGUAUAUAUGCUAAAACUGGAGUGACAUAGAGAAGAUUACCAUGGCUCCUGCGCAAGGAUGGCAAAUUGAACACACACACACACACACACACA
Small nuclear RNA from Portunus trituberculatus (swimming crab), 111 nucleotides. Lineage: Eukaryota; Metazoa; Arthropoda; Malacostraca; Decapoda; Portunidae. The record is from RefSeq and is a predicted model, not a curated record.